This 162-nucleotide ribosomal RNA is filed under the name Triticum aestivum (bread wheat). RNAcentral's name for it is "partial small subunit ribosomal RNA". The record is from RNAcentral. Lineage: Eukaryota; Viridiplantae; Streptophyta; Magnoliopsida; Poales; Poaceae.
AUGACUGGACGAAACCAAGAAAUAACCCCUUAUGUGCGAAAUUAUAGAAGAAGAUCAAACAAUUCCAUCGAAUUGAGUAUGACUGUAUGUGUGAUAGCAUCUACUAUACCAGGAAUAUUAAUGAACCCCAUUCUUGCAAUUGCUCAGGAUACCCUCUUUUAG